RNAcentral lists this long non-coding RNA (492 nucleotides) under Pan troglodytes (chimpanzee). RNAcentral describes it as "long non-coding RNA NONPTRT010749". The record is from RNAcentral. Lineage: Eukaryota; Metazoa; Chordata; Mammalia; Primates; Hominidae.
AGACUCUGCUCCUGCUAUGCUCCCACCUCACUCUUCCCUGAUUUCUCCUCCUGGCAUUCCAGCCUCCUGGACCCCAGUAUCUUCUUCAGACUGAGGAUUUGACUUCUGCUUGGUCUCCUAGGCAGCCCUAGGAACUAACACAGGCACCAACCGCACCAAGCAGGAUUCUGGAAGCUGAGGUUACAGUGGAGAAGGAAACAGACCAUGGAAUCUGUGAAAGGAGGUAGAAAGUCCAGAUCUGGCCGGGCACAGUGGCUCAUGCCUGUAAUACCAGCACUUUGGGAGGCUGAGGUGGGUGCAUCACCUGAGGUCAGGAGUUCAAGACCAGCCUGGCCAAUAUGGCAAAACCCUGUCUCUACUAAAAAUACAAAAAUUAGCCGGGUGUGGUGCAUGCAUUGUAGUCCCAGCUACUCGGGAGGCUGAGACAGGAGAAUUGGUUGAACCCUGGAGGGAGAAGUUGCAGUAAGCCAAGAUCGUGCCACUAUACUCCAG